RNAcentral lists this long non-coding RNA (423 nucleotides) under Citrus sinensis (sweet orange). RNAcentral's name for it is "long non-coding RNA (CSIN_LNC001541)". Lineage: Eukaryota; Viridiplantae; Streptophyta; Magnoliopsida; Sapindales; Rutaceae. The record is from RNAcentral.
CCUCAUAUGCGUAUGAGUAUAAUAUGGCACCAGAGCCAAUGAAUGGUUAGCAACAGUGAAUACAUUCCAUGGACCACAGGAAAAGGUCAACCGUGGAGGAAUUCUUACCUUUCAGUGUAAGUGAAUGUCUUCUGCUAGUGCAAUCCAUUGCGUCCAAUGAUGUAUAUAUAUUUGUGCAACAAAGGAUAAGGAAAAAAGGGGGAAAAAGAAAUAGUUAGAAACAGACGUUCUAAAUUAAUACGCAAGUGUAAAAAAUGAUUGGUUAAAAAAGAAAAAUGCUAUAAGUUGAAGAAGAAGAAGAAUUAAAAAUUGGAAGAAGAAAUACCUCGGGGAGUUUUUGAGAGAGGAGGAGCUCUGGAUUGAUACCUGAACUUUUCGCCAUGGAAGCCCCUCUUAAGAUUGAAAGUAGCUUUUCAAUUUCUG